UAAGACCUGUCAGUAACUAACCGACAUCUUCUGAAUGCAACUCAAACACUUUCACUAAGCUAAGGCCUCU
This 70-nucleotide transfer RNA is filed under the name Anolis aquaticus (water anole). RNAcentral's name for it is "tRNA-Ala". The record is from RNAcentral. Lineage: Eukaryota; Metazoa; Chordata; Lepidosauria; Squamata; Anolidae.